RNAcentral lists this ribosomal RNA (434 nucleotides) under uncultured bacterium. RNAcentral describes it as "partial 16S ribosomal RNA". It matches the Rfam family "Bacterial small subunit ribosomal RNA", at positions 28 to 506 of the family's 1533-position model. The record is from RNAcentral.
GAUGAACGCUGGCGGUAUGCUUAACACAUGCAAGUCGAACGGACUCUUCGGAGUUAGUGGCGGACGGGUGAGUAACGCGUGAGAAUCUGGCUUUGGGUUCGGGACAACCACUGGAAACGGUGGCUAAUACCGGAUGUGCCGAGAGGUAAAAGAGAAAUUGCCUGAAGAUGAGCUCGCGUCUGAUUAGCUAGUUGGUGAGGUAAAGGCUCACCAAGGCAGCGAUCAGUAGCUGGUCUGAGAGGAUGACCAGCCACACUGGGACUGAGACACGGCCCAGACUCCUGCGGGAGGCAGCAGUGGAGAAUUUUCCGCAAUGGGAGAAAGCCUGACGGAGCAAUGCCGCGUGAGGGAAGAAGGCUCUUGUGUUGUAAACCUCUUUUCUUAGGGAAGAACAAAAGGACGUUACCGAAGGAGUCAGCAUCGGCUAACUCCGU